This is a long non-coding RNA of Oreochromis niloticus (Nile tilapia), 2065 nucleotides long. NCBI's taxonomy places the organism in Eukaryota, Metazoa, Chordata, Actinopteri, Cichliformes, Cichlidae. The record is from Ensembl.
GAGAGAUGCUGCUUUUGAAAGGUUUGCUUGUGGAUAGAUGUGUACAAUGGGUUAAAACAUGCUUCUGAAAUGUAAUGGAGCACAAGUAUCACCAGAUAGUUGAUUGGAAAUAUUUAGAUACAUCCCAGCAUGUGUUCUGUAUAGGAAAACAUGCUCAUGACUAAAAUUAUUGUUACCUUUAUUAAUAUGCUGUGUUUGCAGAAAGAGAAAUGGGAGAUUUUGAUGAUGAACCUAAAUUUAAAAUCUAUUUUAUUAAUAUUUCUUUGCAUUUUGUAAGGUUUUGUGUUUAGUUUAUACUUUAUUAAGUAAUCUAGAAGAACAGCCUCUUUACAGUUCCUGCUAGUGGUGCAGGCUCGCCCGCCGGAUCCCCCUCGGCUUCCUCCCCUGCAACCAUCAAACCAACCGCCUCGCUCUCUGGCUCUCUCAGAUUCUCUCUCCACCCCUCUCUCUCUCUCUUUCUCUGGCACGGCACACGGGGCUUAUGUGUCUUGUACUGUACGGAGAGAGAGAGAGAGGGAGCUCUACACUGGGUGACGUCACCUCUCCCAUGGCGUCACAUUGACGUAGCGCAUACCAAGAGCUCUGUGUGGAGGCAGAGCCCACAUAAAUGCACUAUUUGACUUUCUCCCCUCAGACGGCGCACAUAAACAAACGCGCGUUACAAGAGCACACUUUGCAAAGCACCCAUCAGCACUGACACACUCAGCAGCACGGGGACGGACGCAGACGCGCUCUUUAGAGCCACUCGGGAGUUUGAUGAUUUAUUUUUUAUUUCAUUUUCUACUUUUUCUACUUUAGAAAAAGUAAGUGGAAGGAACGGAACUUUUUUUCCUUUCCUUUUCUUUUUCUAAUGCCGACGAAUCCAGCGCCUCUCCGACAUCACUAAGAGUGCUUUUAUUAUUAUUUUUCUUUCCUGUCAUUAUUUCAACUCUUUGCGGUUGUUCUGGAUGGAAAACGGAUACUUCACGCCAAGUUAUUAGCCUACUACAUGUAAAGACGGAACCGCUACAGCAAACAAGCACAGGUUCGGAAGAGCGCGCCCAGCCGAGCUCGGAGCCCCGGCGAUCGGACACUUCCUUAGCGACGCCCGCCGAGCCCUCCCCGCUCCAGGAGCCCUGCCCCGGCCGCAGCCACGCCACCCCUAAAUCCCGGACACCCAGCACCAUUCAGCGCGAGGCUCUUUCACCAGGUACAGAAACAAGCGCUCAGUCUGUCUUCACUUUCAUCUCAUCUUUUUUUUUCUUUCUUUCUUUCUUGUUUAAUCUCCUUCUCAUCUGAUGCUUUUGUAAAGAGUGCAGCGGCUCUGACACUUUCAUUUCGUGUUGCUGUUGUGGAGUGCUUGGUGAUAUGAGUCGGGUGAUUGUUUUAUUGUGGGGAAAAAAGAAAAAAACAACAUUCCCAAAAAUUAAAAUAUAUAUAUAUAUAUAUAUAUAUAUAUAUAUAUAUAUAUAUAUAUAUAUACAUAUAUAUAUAUAAAUCAUUUUAUUUAGUAGUUUAAAACACAGGGGUUAGAUCUGAAUAUCAGCUGGUAGGCAGUCGUUUUAUGUAUGUGUUUUACUCCUGUUAAAGGUCAAAAUAUGACUUGAACUUUCCUGAAUGUUCUGGUGAUCUUUUGUUUGUGCUGCAGCCGUGAGCCCAUGUGUAUGUGUGUGGGUUGAUUUUGUCUGGCAAGUGAGCUGACAUUUCAGUCAUUAAGAUAAGACAAUUCUGAGGCCAGGCACACUUAUAUCCAAAACCUGGAGGCAAAAUGUGAAUCAUAUAUAUAUAUAUUUAUAUAUAAUACAAUCACACAAACACACACACAUAUAUAUAUGUGUGUGUGUGAGAGAGAGAGAGAGAGAGAGAGAGAGAGAGAGAGAGAGAGAGAAUUUUGUCCAUUAUAAUUCAAUAGAGAAACUAGACUGUAUACCCUGAAGUAACUGGUUGUGUAAGUGUCUCUGUGCUUUGUGGUUUUUUUGGGGGGGGGGGUUGUGUGCACAGUGUAAAGGGAACAAAAGUAAAAAUCACUCUACUCAUUGUGGGACGCUGACUCCCCGAAAAUGUUUUAUAGUUUAUUGAUAUAAAA